AGAGUUUGAUCCUGGCUCAGAUUGAACGCUGGCGGUAUGCUUAACACAUGCAAGCCGAACGGGGGUAGCAAUACCCUAGUGGCGGACGGGUGAGUAAUACUUAGGAAUCUGCCCAUUAGUGGAGGACAACUCGGGGAAACUCGAGCUAAUACCGCAUACGCCCUACGGGGGAAAGCGGAGGAUUUCGGGGCUUCGCGCUAUUGGAUGAGCCUAAGCCGGAUUAGCCAGUUGGUAGGGUAAAAGCCUACCAAGGCGACGAUCCGUAGCUGGUCUGAGAGGACGAUCAGCCACACUGGGACUGAGACACGGCCCAGACUCCUACGAGAGGCAGCAGUGGGGAAUAUUGGACAAUGGGGGCAACCCUGAUCCAGCAAUACCGCGUGUGUGAAGAAGGCCUGCGGGUUGUAAAGCACUUUCAGUAGAGAAGAAAAGCCUAGGGUUAAUACCCCUGGGUCUUGACGUUACCUACAGAAGAAGCUCCGGCUAACUCCGUGCCAGCAGCCGCGGUAAUACGGAGUGAGCGAGCGUUAAUCGGAAUUACUGGGCGUAAAGCGCGCGUAGGCGGUUUGAUUAGUCGGAUGUGAAAGCCCUGGGCUCAACCUAGGAAUUGCAUUCGAUACUGGUUAUCUAGAGUAUGGUAGAGGGAAGUUGAAUUCCAGGUGUAGCGGUUAAAUGCGUAGAUAUCUGGAGGAACAUCAAUGGCGAAGGCAACUUCCUGGACCAAUACUGACGCUGAGGUGCGAAAGCGUGGGGAGCAAACAGGAUUAGAUACCCUGGUAGUCCACGCCGUAAACGAAGUCAAAUAGCCGUUGGGGAUCUUAGUAUUCUUAGUGGCGAAGCUAACGCGAUAAGUUGACCGCCUGGGGAGUACGGCCGCAAGGUUAAAACUCAAAGGAAUUGACGGGGGCCCGCACAAGCGGUGGAGCAUGUGGUUUAAUUCGAUGCAACGCGAAGAACCUUACCAGGCCUUGACAUCCCCGGAACUUGGCAGAGAUGCCUUGGUGCCCUCGGGAAUCGGGUGACAGGUGCUGCAUGGCUGUCGUCAGCUCGUGUCGUGAGAUGUUGGGUUAAGUCCCGUAACGAGCGCAACCCUUGUCCUUAGUUGCCAGCACGUAAUGGUGGGAACUCUAAGGAGACUGCCGGUGACAAACCGGAGGAAGGUGGGGAUGACGUCAAGUCCUCAUGGCCCUUACGGCCUGGGCUACACACGUGCUACAAUGGUCGGUACAGAGGGUGGCCAAGCCGCGAGGUGGAGCUAAUCCCAGAAAACCGAUCGUAGUCCGCAUUGCAGGCUGCAACUCGCCUGCAUGAAGCCGGAAUCGCUAGUAAUCGUGGGUCAGCAUACCACGGUGAAUAUGUUCCUGAGCCUUGUACACACCGCCCGUCACGCCAUGGGAGUGGGUUGCAAAAGAAGUGGGUAGACUAACCUUCGGGAGGUCGCUCACCGCUUUGUGAUUCAUGACUGGGGUGAAGUCGUAACAAGGUAGCC
This 1489-nucleotide ribosomal RNA is filed under the name uncultured prokaryote. RNAcentral describes it as "partial 16S ribosomal RNA". It matches the Rfam family "Bacterial small subunit ribosomal RNA". The record is from RNAcentral.